CUACAAUCUACAUGUAAAUAGGAGAUGAGUAAUUUUUGAAACACCUUUUAAAAUUGUUAUUCCUUCUAUUACUUGUUAUUCGUUAAAUGUCGUUCUGGAUAAGGUCUGAUGGAGUUGUAACAUAAUUAAUCAAAAGCAUCUUCAAUCGAACAAUAAUCUGCAAAGAGCUUCUCUAAUUCAGAGAUCUUUUUCGAAGUUAAUUUUUCAACGGAUGUUGAUACAUCUUCUGAAUCAUGUCUUGUAAAUGUUAGCAGAGAAUCAAAUAUGUGGGUAUAAUUUUUAGUUGCAUUGGUCAACGAGACGCGAUGUGCUCUGCUGGUAUCAAUUAAAGAGCUGUGAUUCUUUGCAAUACGAUCAGAAUCAUUUUGAAAAUCAUUGAGCAAAGAAGCACUUUGAAGAAGUUGUUCGGCAAUCAAAGAACGACAGUCUUUGGUUUCAGAGAUCAUGUCCUGCAAUAUUUCAGGAUUGUUUUGCGAUCGUAAAACAUUAACAUUUGUUUGCAAUUGCUGAGCUGACAACUUUGCUAACUCUAAUUUUGAAGACGCCGAACGGUGCUGCUUUUCCAUUUCUUUCACCUUUUUAUGGUAUGAAAGCAGCGAUUCCUCUAGCUUCCUACUUUGUUCCCGCAGCUGUAUUUUUUUAUUGGCAGUUAAGUCACCCGACGCAUUAAAUGAAUUUAAAAAGGUGUCUUCUUUUUCAUUUUCUGCCUUCAGCUCCUUAGUCUUUGAACGCAAGUCGUUUAUAGCAUAUACUAACUGCAAGUUGAUUUGCUCCUCUUUAUGCAGUUGAGACCUUUUUUUUUCUAGCUCUUUUAACUGAUUUUCAGUUUCUUCCUUAAGAUUUUGAAGUACCAAGCUGGUUUGUUUGUUCAUGACAGGCAAUACGGAUAUAUGACUUUCCUCGUCGUUCAUUACUCAAGUAUUUUCAGUUUUUUUAUAUAGAGUUCUAAGAGCUGAUGGUUUUCUACUAAAAUUACAAUAGAGGGGAAAAGGAUUGAAAUGUAAAUUAUAGCAGUUGUAUGCAGAAGGGAAAACGAUAUUCUACCCUUCAAGAUGCCAUAGAUGUUUCAGUGUAUUUUCGUAACAGUUUUUAAUAGUUGUCGAAGUGG
Schizosaccharomyces pombe (fission yeast) is the source of this 1108-nucleotide non-coding RNA. The record is from the annotation of a GenBank genome assembly. Lineage: Eukaryota; Fungi; Ascomycota; Schizosaccharomycetes; Schizosaccharomycetales; Schizosaccharomycetaceae.